RNAcentral lists this ribosomal RNA (253 nucleotides) under uncultured bacterium. RNAcentral describes it as "partial 16S ribosomal RNA". It matches the Rfam family "Bacterial small subunit ribosomal RNA", at positions 524 to 776 of the family's 1533-position model. The record is from RNAcentral.
UACGUAGGGGGCAAGCGUUGUCCGGAAUCAUUGGGCGUAAAGCGCGUGUAGGCGGCCCGAUAAGUCCGCUGUGAAAGUCCAGGGCUCAACCCUGGAAUGCCGGUGGAUACUGUCGGGCUCGAGUCCGGAAGAGGCGAGUGGAAUUCCUGGUGUAGCGGUGAAAUGCGCAGAUAUCAGGAGGAACACCGAUGGCGAAGGCAGCUCGCUGGGACGGUACUGACGCUGAGACGCGAAAGCAUGGGGAGCGAACAGG